Long non-coding RNA from Tympanuchus pallidicinctus (lesser prairie-chicken), 2535 nucleotides. RefSeq lists it as uncharacterized. NCBI's taxonomy places the organism in Eukaryota, Metazoa, Chordata, Aves, Galliformes, Phasianidae. The record is from RefSeq and is a predicted model, not a curated record. The transcript has 4 exons.
GUCUUGGAAGGAGCAGAAUUCCUCCUCUUAAAGGACUUAAUUGGUGUUGUCUGUUAGGUUAGAGCACUGGGAGAGGUCCUCAAGCAUUUCUUGAUGCUCAGGUGUUACUUCCACUGUGUUCAGAGGAGGUGUAUCUCUAAAAGUAAGAAACAGCAGAGUUAGCAGGAGACCUGUGCGGGCAAAAUCAAAGGGGAGGAGGAGGAAUAGAUGGGGUGAGGAAGGCUAAGGCCCUCUUGGGAAUCACUUUUGGGAAGAGAAGUCAAGGCUAACAGGAGUUCACAAGUUUAGCAACAAUAGAAAUAAGAUCAAGGGGAAAAUAGCAGCGUGCCUGCUUAUGAUGCAGAGGCCCUGUUAACAGAGGACAGGAGAAUGCUGCGGUGUCCAAUGCCUUCUCGGUUUCAGGGGUCACUGCUGAGGCGGCUCCUUCAGAAUCCCGGAUCUGGUGGGGAGGAGUCUUUGAGGAGGGGUGACCCUGUCUCGAUUGCGGAGUAGCUGGUCAAAGAUGAUUUAGAAAAGAUGGCCAACAUCACCACUAUCUCCAAAAAGGGCAGUAAGGCCAAUCAGCCUCACCUCCUUCCCUGGAAAGGUGAGGGAACAGGUUGUUUAAGAUAUCAUCUCUAAGUCAGCGGAAGAGAAGAAACCGUAAAGGAAUGGUCACAGUGGAUUCCACAAGGGGAAAGGCGGCCGGAUCAACUGGGUUUAAGGCCAGUGCAGGGACUCUGACAGCGAGACUCCGGUGCCUCUGUGGAGCAAGGUAAGCCACAUCCUUUUGUUCCAUCCCUGGGGUGAGUCAGGAGUUUCUGGCUGGGUGCCAGAGUACAGGUCCUUUGCGUGUGAUGGUUUGUCUUGGUUUCAUGUUUGGAGCGUGGCAGGUCUGCUUCUGGAGCAGGGGAGGCGAGCAGCGCUACCUGCAGGAGUCUGGGGUCCCGGGGCCAUUGUCUCUGAGGUCCAGCACUUUAGAGCUGUUUCUCUUUCCUCAGGUUCCUGCGCAGCUGGUGUCUGAGGAGUGAGGUCUGCAUCCUUGGUUGCGAGCUGCAGAAGAAGCAGAGGAGGUUCAACAGGUAGGCAUGACUUGUGCGUUGCAGGUGGUUCCUUGGCUGUGGUAGACCUCCUCAUCCCUAUGUCAGUAUGUGGUAUGUACUUCCCCGGGGCUCCUGUAUCUUGGUUUUCUGUUGGAGGCUGGUUGAAGCUGUGGCUUGUGUAGAGACAAGUUGAGGUCUCGAUUGGUUUGAUUUGCUUGCUGUGUCUGCUUGUUCAAUUUUCCUUAGCGGUUGGAUAUUUGUAGUGUGGAGUUGAUGCAAAGGGUUGUUUUCUUUAAUUGGAGUUGGUGUUGUUUGAGCCGAAGGGGAGAAGCACAGGCCCCACAAUCUGUGAAUGUGUGCAGGGCUGCCUGGGUUGUUCUUUUGAGUUGAGUGGUGGGAUAGUUUGUCUCAGGUCCAGUUUGUCUAGGGCCCCAGUCCCCACAGCUUUUUAGCAGGUGUCUCGGUUCCUCCUGUUCUCAUUAGUGGGAACAAGGCGGAUGACAAGGCAGAUGGGGCCACAUCUGCAGCCUUGGUGGUGCUGGGAGUCAGAAGCAAAGCCACAAACUGCUGAAACAAAAGCUUUCUCUGAUUGCAGGCUGUGCAGAGGUUGCAGCGGAGCUUCUUCUGCUUGAACAAGCGAGACGAUGGAAAUGAUGAGUGUUUCUGAGCCCCCUGGUGAGAUUUCUUAGAAAUCGCGUUGGACUGCCGCUCGACAGCCUCCAUUUCUUCGCAAUGAGCUCGGCACCAGUGCCGCUGCUGGGCUCCCACAUGGCUUCUCGGAAGUGCUGAGACUGAGUGUGACCCUGGGACAGCGUGACACUCAGUGCCCCAGGAGGGCUUUUCGGGUGCUUCAGGCCCUCCUGCUUGCGGCAUUGGAGUGUGUAUUUCCUCCCUUCCUUUGUGUAACUUCAGGUGUGUCAUCUCACUUGCAUUGUGGAGACACAGCGGGACAGCUUUCAAAACUGGAAUGCUGUUUUGGAUGGCAGGCUGUAUUUCUCUGAAAAGGAGACCAGCAACUAUGGCAGCAUUUGGUGAGAGAACCGGGAGCGAUGAAGAAUCGCUGGAGUGCUGGGGAGGAAGGUGCAUGUGGUAGGAAGUUCCAGCGAUGCAUCAAGGACAACUUCUGCUGCAGAAGAUGGAGGACCACUGCCAUAGCUCGUCCUCCUUACUGAGGAAAGGCCAGUUGGGGACUGGAGGGCCAUGGGCAGCCAGGAGGGUGGCAGCUGGGUGGCAGAGGAGUUGAGGAUUCACCUUUGCAUACCGAGUGAGUUGGCUGAAGCAAUUUUAAAAUGGUUCUCUAUCCUAUUACUUGUGGUGUUUCCUGUAGGAAAGGAGCCAGAGGACUGCAGGAUAACCAACAUCCCUGAGGAGUUCAGAAAGAAUGAGAAGGACGGCUCACACAACUACAGGGCUAGCAGCCUCACCUCCUUCCCUGGAAAGGUGAGGGAAUGGCUUGUGUGAGAGGUCAUCUGCAAGCAAGAGGAAGUGAAGAGGUUUCUAAGGAACAGUGAUC